GGGCUCCUCCCCCGCGAGCAGCGGCGCUUCCCCGAAGCCCGCCAGGUUCGCGAGCCCUGUUGCUCCGCAAAUUCCACCCCUGCAGAGAAAGGGAGGCCGACGUGCAGUUUGGCUUGGAGGGAGGAGAGGCUGGACUUUUGGGAUAAUGUGAGAUAAAUGGGUCUGAAACCCGAAGGCCUGAGGGGAGGGGUACUGCAGGUGGGGCUGGCUGAACCCCCUCUCUAGGCCCUGAGAUGACUGAAGCUGACCAGCGAGCACCCUGUAUGGGGAUCAGUCUUGCCCAGCCUCUUGGCUCUUGUCUCCUGCCCAGAGCGUCUCUACCAAGGGUAGACCUGAGUUUUGGUUGAGUCGGCCCUGGAGAGGCAGUGGUAGGUGGUCUGACUCUUUCUGGUAGGUUCCAGACAGGGGAAAGAAAGAGGAGUGUCCCAAGUCUGUUCUGCGACCUUGUAAGAGGCAUUCCAGGCAGCACCUAAUACCUACCAAAUUCAAGUGACUUGUUAGCCGCAAGGCAAUGAGCUAUUUACAUGUUCUGUACUGGCCCUGCCCCUCCUCUUGGAGGUGGGAACUAUCUUAUUCUGUGUGCAGCUUUGUCAACGACCAGCAAAACACCUGACACAGAAGGUAAGUAAUAUAAAGCUGUUGACUAAAGGCAACUAAUUAAUAGCCAACGGACCCCUCCGGCCCCAUGCCAGGCACUGGGAUUACAGCAGCACCACAGCAGCUUCAUUAUUGACGGAGUAUGUGCUGUGUGAGCCAUGAUGGGCUGGGAGCCUCCCCUGAAUACUCACAAGCUAGUGGUGAUAAAAGCCAGGUACUACUGUGUCUGUGUCUUGAUGGAAUACCACCUCAAAGCCAAUGCGGAUUUAAGCUGGAUAUGAAAGACCCACAAGCAAGAACCAUCAUGCUAAAUAGAGAAAACAUCAUUGACAAUUGCCUUGAUAAUAAUGUGCACCAUACAAUGUUCUCCUUUGUUAUUAAAGCACAAGCAACUUCUUCUCUGUGAUUUCAACUACUUAUGACUGUUUUGCUUUCUUGUGUGCAUACAUAUUGAAGAGCUUUCUCAUUCAAAUUUUUCCUUUCCCCAUCUAAAUUUUCCUUUUUGAGCUAUAGCUAUGCACCCAAAAAUGCAGAAAAAUUUCAACAUUUUAACAUGUGCAACCUGUCUGGCAUAGUUGAAUAGGUAUUUCUCAGUGCCUCUCUCCCCAAAUAGUGCUUUCCUGUGUCAACAAUAACUGCCCACUGAACUACGUCUCUCAUUAACAUCUCUUCUUUCUCCUCUAAAGCACCAAGUUGAGGCCUGCUUCUCUCUUCCUUAAAGCUUCCAGACCAAAAGCUCUACUCCUAGUCUGCCAUCUACUUUCCCCGCUUAUUGUUCCAAACUCACCUACCUUCCUCCUUGCUGGACAGACCAGGGGAGUCUUGCAUCUUCAGGUGUCUACCUUGCCCACAAUUCCCUUUGGAUGGGGUGGUCCACAUCUGCUUUUCCCUCCACUAGCUCCUGGGGCUUCUGCCUGUGCAUUGAGGGAAAUCAGCACAGCUCCUCUGGACACAAUGCACUGGGCUAGACCAUUGCUAAUAGAAUGUUCUGCAGUGAUGUUCUUUAUCAGUGCUAUCCCAUACGGAGCUAACAGGGCAUCUGACAUGUGACUAGUGAAUGGAGAAUCAAAGCCUUCAUUUGAUUUAACUGAUUUAAAUUUACAAGUCUCAUGUAGCUAGUGGUUAUCCUCCUAGAAAGCAGACCUAUAGACUCAGCUGUUUGAUGUCCCACGGCCCUGAAAUUUAACUUAAAAAAAAAAGGGUGAAAAGUUUGCUAUGCUACCUAAAAGCAGACCAAAUCAGAGAGAAAGCCAGAAGCAGCAGGGCCAGGCAUCUUCUGCAGGGAGGUCGGCAGGCAUUUUCUGGGCAUUCUGGUUUAAUCCAGUGGGAUUCUGUACGGCCUUUAGCUGAUCCCAUGCUACUUUAACAUGGCUUCAUAGUGAGUCCUAACAUCUGGCAAGUAAAAAUGCCCACCCCUCUGUUCUUUCCUUUCUGAGAUGUCCUAGCCUUUUGCUCUCCUUUAUCUUCUACUUUAGAAUCACCUUAACAAGUUCCAGGAGAAAACUUGGUGGGAUUUUGACUGGAAUUAUCUGGGGACAAAUGACAUCUUUAUGAAAUUGUCUGCCUAGCCAAACAUGUCUCUCCCUAUUUUUUUGAGGGCUCAGUUACUAUCUCAAUAAUGUUUAAGAAUUUUUUUCUUAAAGAGGUGAUGAUCAUCAUACAUUGUUCACUUCCUAGGUACUUGGUAUUAAUACUAUUGUAUAAGGUUAUCUUCUUGUUUUCUAGUUGUUACUUCUGUAAACAAAUGAAACUGGCUUGUGAAAAUUAAUGCUACAUCUACUAACCUACCCAAACCCUAUUAUUUCUGGUAUUCUCUUUAGACUUACUUCGGUUUUCUAUAAAAACUAACAAUUGUAAUGUGCAAAUGAGUGUUUCUACUACUUGUAAAACUUUUUCUUGACUUACUCUAUUGGCUAGGCUCUCCAACACAAAUUUUGAAUAUAAGCUGUGAUAGUGG
Molecule: long non-coding RNA, 2554 nt
Filed under: Camelus dromedarius (Arabian camel)
Lineage: Eukaryota; Metazoa; Chordata; Mammalia; Artiodactyla; Camelidae
Description: lncRNA (ENSCDRG00005017844.1)
Source: RNAcentral